UACGUAGGCGGAAUGUCAAGUAUCUUGUGAAAUCCCUCGGCUCAACCGAGGAAUUGCAGGGUAAACUGGCAUUCUUGAGGCAGGUAGAGGUAACUGGAACUCAUGGUGGAGCGGUGGAAUGCGUAGAUAUCAUGGGGAACGCCAAAGGUGAAGACAAGUUACUGGGCCUGUCCUGACGCUGAGGUACGAAAGCGUGGGUAGCAAACAGGAUUAGAUACCCUGGUAGUCC
RNAcentral lists this ribosomal RNA (229 nucleotides) under uncultured bacterium. Its description in RNAcentral is "partial 16S ribosomal RNA". It matches the Rfam family "Bacterial small subunit ribosomal RNA", at positions 568 to 796 of the family's 1533-position model. The record is from RNAcentral.